GAAUUCAUAUAGUAUCUGCUUU
RNAcentral lists this non-coding RNA (22 nucleotides) under Arabidopsis thaliana (thale cress). The record is from RNAcentral. Lineage: Eukaryota; Viridiplantae; Streptophyta; Magnoliopsida; Brassicales; Brassicaceae.